Molecule: ribosomal RNA, 492 nt
Filed under: uncultured bacterium
Lineage: Bacteria
Description: partial 16S ribosomal RNA
Rfam family: Bacterial small subunit ribosomal RNA
Source: RNAcentral
GAUGAACGCUAGCUACAGGCUUAACACAUGCAAGUCGAGGGGAAACGACAUCGAAAGCUUGCUUUUGAUGGGCGUCGACCGGCGCACGGGUGAGUAACGCGUAUCCAACCUGCCCAUCACUUGGGAAUAACCUUGCGAAAGUAAGACUAAUACCCAAUGACAUCCCACGAAGACAUCUGAAUGGGAUUAAAGAUUUAUCGGUGAUGGAUGGGGAUGCGUCUGAUUAGCUUGUUGGCGGGGUAACGGCCCACCAAGGCAACGAUCAGUAGGGGUUCUGAGAGGAAGGUCCCCCACAUUGGAACUGAGAAACGGUCCAAACUCCUACGGGAGGCAGCAGUGAGGAAUAUUGGUCAAUGGGCGAGAGCCUGAACCAGCCAAGUAGCGUGCAGGAUGACGGCCCUAUGGGUUGUAAACUGCUUUUAUAAGGGAAUAAAGUGGGUCUCGUGAGACUUUUUGCAUGUACCUUAUGAAUAAGAACCGGCUAAUUCCGUG